This 429-nucleotide ribosomal RNA is filed under the name Chloroflexota bacterium. RNAcentral's name for it is "Chloroflexi bacterium partial 16S ribosomal RNA". It matches the Rfam family "Bacterial small subunit ribosomal RNA", at positions 355 to 776 of the family's 1533-position model. The record is from RNAcentral. Lineage: Bacteria; Bacillati; Chloroflexota.
UGGGGAAUAUUGCACAAUGGGCGCAAGCCUGAUGCAGCCAUGCCGCGUGUGUGAAGAAGGCCUUCGGGUCGUAAAGCACUUUCAGCGGGGAGGAAGGCGAUAAGGUUAAUAACCUUGUCGAUUGACGUUACCCGCAGAAGAAGCACCGGCUAACUCCGUGCCAGCAGCCGCGGUAAUACGGAGGGUGCAAGCGUUAAUCGGAAUUACUGGGCGUAAAGCGCACGCAGGCGGUCUGUCAAGUCGGAUGUGAAAUCCCCGGGCUCAACCUGGGAACUGCAUUCGAAACUGGCAGGCUAGAGUCUUGUAGAGGGGGGUAGAAUUCCAGGUGUAGCGGUGAAAUGCGUAGAGAUCUGGAGGAAUACCGGUGGCGAAGGCGGCCCCCUGGACAAAGACUGACGCUCAGGUGCGAAAGCGUGGGGAGCAAACAGG